UAAAUUACAAAAAACUCCUCUGUAAUAACCCGCUUUUUCACUUCCCCCCCUGACAUUUAAAAACCUACACUUUGCCCCCUUGUAAAAUGAAAAUAUUCACAGGGAGGUUACGGUGUGUAAAAUGACCAUUUUGCCCCUCGCCAUUUUCAUCUUCUUUCUCAUCUUCCUCAGCUGCCCCUUCGAUCGGCCGCGAUUCCAACCUCAAUCGGCUGCGAUUUCUCUCCAUUUCCUUCUCCACCUGCUCCCCUUCUCCUCUUGCACCCUCGCCGCUCCUCGAUUUCGGCGACAGUAGGGAGGAAACUGAGGUGGGUGUUGAUGGAGAGGUAGGCAAGGGCAACGAAGGCGAAGGCGAGGUGGCGGACGACGGCGAAGGGGAUGUGGGCGAUGGCGAGGCAAUGGAGGACGGCGAGGCAGCUAGGCGGCGAGGCAGCCAGGCGACGGCGAGGUGGCGAGCCGGAGAGAGACGAAGCAACAGAGAAGAGGGCGGAGGGGUAUUUUCGGCAUAAAAAAAAUUUUAUAACG
This 522-nucleotide long non-coding RNA is filed under the name Ananas comosus (pineapple). Its description in RNAcentral is "long non-coding RNA (ACOM_LNC029125)". The record is from RNAcentral. Lineage: Eukaryota; Viridiplantae; Streptophyta; Magnoliopsida; Poales; Bromeliaceae.